UAAUACCAGAAACCUCGAUAU
This 21-nucleotide small nuclear RNA is filed under the name Arabidopsis thaliana (thale cress). RNAcentral describes it as "snRNA_14150". The record is from RNAcentral. Lineage: Eukaryota; Viridiplantae; Streptophyta; Magnoliopsida; Brassicales; Brassicaceae.